This is a non-coding RNA of Pelobates cultripes (western spadefoot toad), 207 nucleotides long. NCBI's taxonomy places the organism in Eukaryota, Metazoa, Chordata, Amphibia, Anura, Pelobatidae. The record is from the annotation of a GenBank genome assembly.
GUCUUUAGAAUACACAACAUCUGGGUACACCCGUGGUUUCCUCAUAAGGCAAUCUUUAUUGAAGUAGCACAGAAAACAGACAACAUUUUGGCACUCUUAUGUGCCUUUGUCAAGUGUCAAAACUUUGUCAGUUUUCUGUGCACCUUCAAUAAAGACUGCCUUAUGAGGAAACCACGGGUGUGUCCAGAUGUUGUUUAUUCUGAAGAU